UGGCGGCGCGCCUACACAUGCAAGUCGAACGAGAAAGGGGAGCAAUCCCUGAGUACAGUGGCGUACGGGUGAGUAACACGUGGAUGAUCUACCCUUUAGUGGGGAAUAACUAUGGGAAACCGUAGCUAAUACCGCAUAAGCUCGAGAGAGGAAAGCAGCAAUGCGCUGAAGGAGGAGUCCGCGGCCGAUUAGCUAGUUGGCAGGGUAAAAGCCUACCAAGGCAGAGAUCGGUAGCCGGCCUGAGAGGGCACACGGCCACACUGGCACUGAAACACGGGCCAGACUCCUACGGGAGGCAGCAGUGGGGAAUCUUGCACAAUGGGGGAAACCCUGAUGCAGCGACGCCGCGUGAGCGAUGAAGCCCUUCGGGGUGUAAAGCUCUUUCGGCAGGGAAGAUAGUGACGGUACCUGCAGAAGCAGCUGCGGCUAACUACGUGCCAGCAGCCGCGGUAAUACGUAGGCAGCAAGCGUUGUUCGGAGUUACUGGGCGUAAAGGGUGUGUANGCGGUUGU
This 512-nucleotide ribosomal RNA is filed under the name uncultured bacterium. RNAcentral's name for it is "bacterial SSU rRNA". It matches the Rfam family "Bacterial small subunit ribosomal RNA", at positions 37 to 582 of the family's 1533-position model. The record is from RNAcentral.